Molecule: long non-coding RNA, 609 nt
Filed under: Salvia miltiorrhiza (redroot sage)
Lineage: Eukaryota; Viridiplantae; Streptophyta; Magnoliopsida; Lamiales; Lamiaceae
Description: long non-coding RNA (SMIL_LNC012771)
Source: RNAcentral
UUUUAUUCUUUAGCCGGAUGAUAGGGGGUGAUGAAGUAUAUGGGGAUCUUCGUGUGGUGAAUAUUCAUAGUAGGUUGUGAAAAAGAAGGGAUGAUAUUGAGCUACUAUUUACUCUUAUAAGCUCUAGAAUAGUUGUGAAAAAAAAGAAAAAAAAAAGAGAAAAGAAAAAGAAAGAAAAAAAAAAGUAUAAAGUCAAGUGUAUAUUGAGAUAUUUGUUUGAAAAUUGACUUUGUGUGUUGGAAAUAAAUGGAGAGCAUAAAAAAGUGUCUAGUUCUGUUUUGUGAUGAUUAAAUCCCUCGAGUUGUGUUGAUUAUGGUGAUAUAGUUGGGUGGAAGAUGAAAUUUAUUCCAUGCUUGAUUAGUGAAGCUAUAAGGUUGGUGUUCUUGAUCUAUUUGAGUCACUUAGCCUAUAUUUCCCUACCUUAACCAAUGUCCCUACAUUAUAACCCGAAUAAAAAGACCUUUUUUAUCUUAGUCCUGGCACACUAUUAGCGAUGAAGAUUGUAGACGAUUGGCAAGCCUAUGGUAAGAGAUCUGCAUUGUAUUGAAUUUCGUUGAGAGUAUACACGUCCUAUUCCAUCAAAUUGAGAGUUGAGUGAUACACAUACCU